RNAcentral lists this ribosomal RNA (560 nucleotides) under uncultured Methanomicrobiales archaeon. Its description in RNAcentral is "bacterial SSU rRNA". It matches the Rfam family "Archaeal small subunit ribosomal RNA", at positions 339 to 900 of the family's 1478-position model. Lineage: Archaea; Methanobacteriati; Methanobacteriota; Methanomicrobia; Methanomicrobiales. The record is from RNAcentral.
GCGCGAAAACUUUACAAUGCGGGAAACCGUGAUAAGGAAACCCCGAGUGCCAGCAUAGGCUGGCUGUCCGCCAGUGUAAAUAACUGGUGAAGAAAGGGCCGGGCAAGACCGGUGCCAGCCGCCGCGGUAAUACCGGCGGCUCGAGUGGUGGCCACUAUUACUGGGCUUAAAGGGUCCGUAGCUUGAUAUGCAAGUCUCUUGAGAAAUCCGCCGGCUUAACUGGCGGGCGUUCAGGGGAAACUGCAUUUCUAGGGACCGGGAGAGGUGAGAGGUACUGCCGGGGUAGGAGUGAAAUCCUGUAAUCCCGGUGGGACCACCUAUAGCGAAGGCAUCUCACCAGAACGGGUCCGACAGUGAGGGACGAAAGCUGGGGGAGCAAACCGGAUUAGAUACCCGGGUAGUCCCAGCUGUAAACGAUGCGCGUUAGGUGUGUCAGUGACCACGUGUCACUGAGGUGCCGAAGGGAAACCGUGAAACGCGCCGCCGUGGGGAGUACGGUCGCGAAGGCUAGAAACUUAAAGGAAUUGGGCGGGGGAGCCACCGACGAACGGGGUGGACGG